Molecule: long non-coding RNA, 1538 nt
Filed under: Salmo salar (Atlantic salmon)
Lineage: Eukaryota; Metazoa; Chordata; Actinopteri; Salmoniformes; Salmonidae
Description: lncRNA (ENSSSAG00000087221.1, ENSSSAG00075067758.1)
Source: RNAcentral
CCUUCCCUCGCUACGGCCUCACGCUGCUGCACUUUUAAAGCUCCUGCUGUUCAUUAGGUCUCUGAUUAGGUUGAGCAGAUAAGGAUUCCUCUUUCCAGGGUCAAAAGUGAAGUGUAAGCUGAAACGGUUGAACUAACCAGGCAUAUUUAUGUCUAAGUCAUAAAACUUUGGCAAACACUCCUUUAGAUUUACAGGGUGUGCAGGUUUUUACUCCAACCCUUCUCUAACAAUCAGCUGCUCAUCAGAACCUUUAGGUUUGGCCACCAAUGGUGGAAAGAAACCAACUCGAUGAGAGAUUUCUGCGAUAGUGUACUAUGGGUAUGCGGUUGAGUUACGUCCUCUUAUCUCCCAUUUCUCCAACCCCCUCAACCCCCAAACCUAGUGGCCUAUCAGAGCUGAACUAGGUGCAACUCCUUUACCCAUGAGGCCCUGCAUGAUAGUCCUAGUCCUAGAGGGUUGCUACAAUUUAAACAAAUAUAUAAAGACAUAUAAACUAUAUAGAAACUAUAAUACCGGUACCCUGAAUGUCUUACCUUGUUUAUGUCUGCAGCAGGCUUGUAGUGAAGUGAGCAGACUACUGAUGAGCCUAUUGAUUCUGUGUUGUUUGACUUUGUCCUCUCUAGCUGUCACCUCCCUCUCAACCCUCAACAGGGUCUUCACUAGUUACCACCCCGCCUACUUCUAAAAUGUAUCUUCUGAAUCAAAUGUGAUUUUAAACCUAACCUUAAUCCCACUGCUAAACGUAUGCCUAACCUUAAAUUAUGACCAAAAAUGUUAUUUUAGUUUUCAGGAAUUUUUACGAUAUAACCAAACUACAGACUUAUAGCCAGAUGUAUACUUUGUGGCUGUGCUAUCUAGUGGAAGCCCCUCAACAGUCGCCUCAGAAUGGAAAGGGAAUGUGAUCUACGCUUGGAAAGUGAAACUCAAACUCCCGCUUCUUUCUAGUGAUGUGUAUCCCAUCAUACCCAGGUCCCAUACCCGUCAUUGUAUCCCAUCAUACCCAGGUCCCAUACCCGUCAUUGUAUCCCAUCAUACCCAGGUCCCAUACCCGUCAUUGUAUCCCAUCAUACCCAGGUCCCAUACCCGUCAUUGUAUCCCAUCAUACCCAGGUCCCAUACCCAUCAUUGAUAGAUUUAUAAACACUGCGUCUUUCCCUUGGCCUUGAUUCAAAUGUGGGUGUGUUCCCUUGACUCAAAUGUGUGGUUGAUAUUUUAAAGCUCCUGCUGUUAUUAUCAAUUUGUUAUUUAUCUCAGCUUUUUCUGGGACUUGAAAGCUCUCGAGGGCCUGCCCCGUUUGAGACUGUAAUUAUGCAAUAUGGCCACACGAUGUCAUUACACUUCUUCAAAAGUUUUGCUCGCUAGAUUUGCUUUAUUGUCGUGGUGAUUCUGUUUAUUUAUUUAUUAUUAUGUUGUUUUUUUAUAUGCUGUAAUGGUCUCCAAAUAAAUUGUCAUCAGUGUUCUAACCUAUUAAAAAUAGGGUAGUGGGUGGUAUCUUGCCCCCUGGGGGUAACUUCCCCCACCCCCUGUAAUUCACAUUAA